RNAcentral lists this ribosomal RNA (1296 nucleotides) under Metschnikowia hibisci. RNAcentral's name for it is "SSU rRNA". It matches the Rfam family "Bacterial small subunit ribosomal RNA". Lineage: Eukaryota; Fungi; Ascomycota; Pichiomycetes; Serinales; Metschnikowiaceae. The record is from RNAcentral.
AUAUAAGAGAACAUGAUGUUGGUUCAGAUCAAAUGCUAUGUAGAGACAUAACACAUGCAAGUUAUUUUAAAAUAUAGCGUUAAGGUGAGUGAUAUAAGAUAUAGAUAAAUAUCUUAUUCAGAUGUAGGUAUUAGAUAAUAAUCUAGCCAUGGAACUGGAGCCGACGAUAAGCGUCACAACGGCCACAUUGAUAUAAUAUCAACUCUUAUAUAGAGCAGCAGUGGGGAAUCUUUGACAAUGGUCUAACGACUGAUCAAGUUAUCUACGAGAAGGAUAUUAAACCCGUCUAAGACGGGCAUAUAUAUAUAAAAAAAACUAUAUAUAUAUAAAAAUAAUAAAAGAUUAACUAUAAACUUCUAAAUAAUAUGAUAAUAAUGAUAUCGAUUAUGAAAAGUCCUAACUAAAAUAUGUGCCAGCAGCUGCGGUUAGACAUAGAGGGCAAGCAUUGGUCAAAAUGGCUUAAAGGAUCUGUAGAACGUAUAAAAAAAUUUAAUAUAGAAUAAUGACUAGAAAUAGGAAGGGUAAUAAGAAUUAAAGUUAGAGGGAUAAAAUACUACGAAAACAUUAAGACUAUAAAGAGAUUACUUAAAAUUAUUGACGUUGUGAGAUGAAGGCUACGGUAGCGACAUGGAUUCGAUACCCAUUUAGUCGUAGCAGUGAACUAUGAGUACAAUAUUAUGAAAAAUGAAAAUGAAUAGUACUCCGCCUGACUAGUACGCUCGCAAGGGUGAAAUACAAGACAUUAGACGGUUGUAGUCCCAAGCAGUGGAACAUGUCAUUUAAUUGGAUGAUCCUCCAAGAACCUUACCAUCUCUUGAAUUAUUAACAGGCGUUACAUCGUUGUCGUCAGUUCAUGCCGUGAGGUUUAAUAUUAAGUUAUUGAAUGAACGUAACCCUUUUCUUAUAGAUAAGUAUAAUUGUAAAAUUAUAGGAAGUAGAGGUAGAAGACUAAUCAUGAUGACCCUAAUGAGAUGGGCAAUCGACGUGUUACAAUAUUAAUAACAAUUAAAUUAACUUUAAUGUUAAUAUAAAUAUAAUCUAUAUGAUUAUUUAUUAAAUAUUAAGAAUAAGACAUAGUUUCAUUUAUGGAUUGUAAUCUGAAAUUCGGUUACAUAAAGGAGGAAUUGCUAGUAAUCGUAAACUAGAUAGUUACGGUGAAAUUUUUUGCUACUUCGUACUAACCACUCAUCAACAGCAAGAAAUUUUUAUUUUACUUAUUGAGCUUUUAUAAAAAGGACUUGCUGUAAGUUGAAAUACGGUUCGGUUAGGGGAACCUGAUCGGGAUAUAUAUAUUUA